This 472-nucleotide ribosomal RNA is filed under the name uncultured bacterium. Its description in RNAcentral is "bacterial SSU rRNA". It matches the Rfam family "Bacterial small subunit ribosomal RNA", at positions 355 to 825 of the family's 1533-position model. The record is from RNAcentral.
UGGGGAAUUUUGGACAAUGGGGGCAACCCUGAUCCAGCAAUGCCGCGUGAGUGAAGAAGGCCUUCGGGUUGUAAAGCUCUUUUGUCAGGGAAGAAACGGUAGUAGCGAAUAACUAUUACUAAUGACGGUACCUGAAGAAUAAGCACCGGCUAACUACGUGCCAGCAGCCGCGGUAAUACGUAGGGUGCAAGCGUUAAUCGGAAUUACUGGGCGUAAAGCGUGCGCAGGCGGUUGUGUAAGUCAGAUGUGAAAUCCCCGGGCUCAACCUGGGAAUUGCAUUUGAGACUGCACGGCUAGAGUGUGUCAGAGGGGGGUAGAAUUCCACGUGUAGCAGUGAAAUGCGUAGAUAUGUGGAGGAAUACCGAUGGCGAAGGCAGCCCCCUGGGAUAACACUGACGCUCAUGCACGAAAGCGUGGGGAGCAAACAGGAUUAGAUACCCCAGUAGUCCCUGAGCGGGCUGGCAAGGCGCAU